UACGUAGGGUGCGAGCGUUGUCCGGAAUUACUGGGCGUAAAGAGCUCGUAGGUGGUUUGUCGCGUUGUUCGUGAAAUCUCACGGCUUAACUGUGAGCGUGCGGGCGAUACGGGCAGACUUGAGUACUGCAGGGGAGACUGGAAUUCCUGGUGUAGCGGUGGAAUGCGCAGAUAUCAGGAGGAACACCGGUGGCGAAGGCGGGUCUCUGGGCAGUAACUGACGCUGAGGCGCGAAAGCUAGGGGAGCAAACGGG
RNAcentral lists this ribosomal RNA (253 nucleotides) under uncultured bacterium. Its description in RNAcentral is "partial 16S ribosomal RNA". It matches the Rfam family "Bacterial small subunit ribosomal RNA", at positions 524 to 776 of the family's 1533-position model. The record is from RNAcentral.